CCUGCAGGCUGUGUCUCCUGGCUGGCUUCUUUCUCUCUCAGGCUCAUGUGGAAAGCCAGCCAGAAUGGUCAAGAGGUCCUUUCUCCUUCCUUCAACCUGAGAACUUGGCAAUGAUCAAAAGGAGGUGAUUAGUAGCUACAGAGAAAAGACACCAGCAGGCAAGGAGUUAACAGACGCUGAGCCCUUCACCCCCAGGUUCGGGAUGGGGGAGCGGUGGAGAGAGCUGGUCACAAAGGCGAGGGGUCCUGGUGAAAAAGCCCACGUCCUAGAAGCCAACUUUGAAGAACAAAGUAGAGGAUCCAUUAAAAGUUAAUUCAGUAAAUAAACUUCAUUGGCGAUAAAACAAACAAGAAAGAUGGAAGCGCCAACUUAAAAUAGCCAAAAGAUAAUAAAAAUAAAUAGUUUUGAUGUGGCCUCAACAUGUGCUGUGCCUUUUGGCAGGCAGGUCCCUACCCUGGUCCACCCUGCAGAGGCCUCCAUGGAGCACCCUCUCUCCUUUUGAAAAGCCCUCAUGUGUACACGCAAUGUUUUUUGGCAUUUGUCAUUUUUAGGCAACUUCACACAUCAAAGGCG
RNAcentral lists this long non-coding RNA (573 nucleotides) under Equus caballus (horse). RNAcentral's name for it is "lncRNA (ENSECAG00000059040.1)". The record is from RNAcentral. Lineage: Eukaryota; Metazoa; Chordata; Mammalia; Perissodactyla; Equidae.